CGCGUAGGCGGUUUUGUAAGUUCCGCGUGAAAUCCCCCGGCUCAACCGGGGAAUGGCGUGGAAAACUGCGAGGCUUGAGUUCGGGAGAGGGAAGCGGAAUUCCGGGUGUAGCGGUGAAAUGCGUAGAUAUCCGGAGGAACACCGGUGGCGAAGGCGGCUUCCUGGACCGACACUGACGCUGGGGCGCGAAAGCUAGGGGAGCAAACG
Molecule: ribosomal RNA, 207 nt
Filed under: uncultured bacterium
Lineage: Bacteria
Description: partial 16S ribosomal RNA
Rfam family: Bacterial small subunit ribosomal RNA
Source: RNAcentral